GACAGAGGAUGCAAGCGUUAUCCGGAAUGAUUGGGCGUAAAGCGUCUGUAGGUGGCUUUUUAAGUCCGCCGUCAAAUCCCCGGGCUCAACCUGGGAACUGCAUUCAAAACUGACAAGCUAGAGUAUGGUAGAGGGUGGUGGAAUUUCCUGUGUAGCGGUGAAAUGCGUAGAUAUAGGAAGGAACACCAGUGGCGAAGGCGACCACCUGGACUGAUACUGACACUGAGGUGCGAAAGCGUGGGGAGCAAACAGG
RNAcentral lists this ribosomal RNA (253 nucleotides) under uncultured bacterium. RNAcentral's name for it is "partial 16S ribosomal RNA". It matches the Rfam family "Bacterial small subunit ribosomal RNA", at positions 524 to 776 of the family's 1533-position model. The record is from RNAcentral.